UUCACACACAUCAUUUAACUUAACCUUCAUGUCAACCUUCAAAGAUGAGAAUUAUUAUGCCCAUUUUAUAGAUGAGGAAACUGAGGCUCACAGAGUAUGACUUGCCCAAAGCCUCAGGGCCAUUAAAGGAGAGAUGGGAUGUGUGGCUGGGCCUGGCUCCAAAGUCCAUGCUUUUCCCCCUACCCUUCUGCCUCCCUGGCACAGAUGGACUAGGGUGGCAGAAAGAGCACUGGAUCCUAGCUGGUAAAUGGUCUGGCCUCCACUCCCAGACGCCGCUGAGUGGACAGCCUUGGACAGGUUGCUGGCCCCACCCCUAGUGCCUCUGUCCCCAGAUCUUUAUCUAUGAAAUGAGGGGUUUGACCAGAUGGCUAAGGUCCCUCCCACUCUUACUUUCUCACAGUGUCUCUAUGACUAAUGCAAUUGUGCUUCCUUUCCCGGGACUCUGCCGUGCCUGGUGAUCACAUCAUAUGUUCAGCAGACCUGUAUCCAGGGAGAGCAUCUUCCAAAGGCCCAGGUUGAGUUACUGUGGUGCCACUCAGCCAAGGAUGAAGGGGUGAGAUGGACCACUGAUCUUCAAGUCCCCUCCCGUGCUAUGUGAGAUUCCAGCACAGAUCAGAGGGCAAACAGAUGCAAGGCUUCCCUGGUGGCGCAGUGAUUAAGAAUCCACCUGACAAUGCAGGGGACACGGGUUCGAGCCCUGGUCCGGGAAGAUCCCACAUGCCGCGGAGCAGCUAAGCCCGUGCACCACAACUAGUGAAUCUGUGCCCUAGAGCCCACAAGCCACAACUACUGAGCCCACGUGCCACAACUACUGAAGCCUGUGUGCCUAGAGCCUGUGCUCCACAACAAGAGAAGCCACCACAAUGAGAAGCCCGCACACUGCAAAGAAGAGAGGCUCCUGCUUGCUGUAACUAGAGAAAGCCCAAGCGCAGCAGCCCAAUGAAGCAAAAAAAAAAAAAAAAGUUCUCAUCACAUGAAAAAAAAAUUUUGUAACUAUGUGUGGUGAUGGAUGUUAACUAGACUUAUUGUGAUCAUUUCACAAUAUACACAAAUAUCAAAUCAUUAUGUUGUAUACCUGAAACUAAUGUAAUAUAUGUCAAUUAUAUCUCAAUUAUAAAAAAGAAGUGUGUGUAGAAAAUACAACGAAGGGAUUGAUUAGCUUGUGUGAAUGGUGUAUAAAGAACAGGGAGGGCUUUUGAAAGAGAUGACAUCUAAACUGUGUUUAAAAAAAAAAAAUCAGAAUUUUCCAGGCAGGGGGAUUUUCCAGGAGGAGAGGUUAGGCGCACUGAAGGGAAUGGGGAGCAGUGGAAGUGAAGGUUUGGACCCCAUAUACAGUCUUUACAAAAUGAUUACCAAACGGCAUGGGGCUCUGGCAGUCUGAGCUGCCUGAAGGGACUUGGCCACAGAUCCUUACAAGAGAAAACAAAGGUGAAAUUGAGUAACAGAAAGAAGGAAAAUAAUGAACAAGUG
Molecule: non-coding RNA, 1470 nt
Organism: Kogia breviceps (pygmy sperm whale)
Lineage: Eukaryota; Metazoa; Chordata; Mammalia; Artiodactyla; Physeteridae
Source: RefSeq, a predicted model, not a curated record